This 257-nucleotide ribosomal RNA is filed under the name Vibrio alginolyticus. RNAcentral's name for it is "partial 16S ribosomal RNA". It matches the Rfam family "Bacterial small subunit ribosomal RNA", at positions 1286 to 1533 of the family's 1533-position model. Lineage: Bacteria; Pseudomonadati; Pseudomonadota; Gammaproteobacteria; Vibrionales; Vibrionaceae. The record is from RNAcentral.
UCGUAGUCCGGAUUGGAGUCUGCAACUCGACUCCAUGAAGUCGGAAUCGCUAGUAAUCGUGGAUCAGAAUGCCACGGUGAAUACGUUCCCGGGCCUUGUACACACCGCCCGUCACACCAUGGGAGUGGGCUGCAAAAGAAGUAGGUAGUUUAACCUUCGGGGGGACGCUUACCACUUUGUGGUUCAUGACUGGGGUGAAGUCGUAACAAGGUAGCGCUAGGGGAACCUGGCGCUGGAUCACCUCCUUAWACGAUGAU